AGUCCCAGUGCAAAAGAAGCAGAAAUGAGCUCACUCACCUCUAACGCCGCCUGGGGGUCCCCGUCGAUCAGAGCAUCUGGGAAGCUCUGGAAAAACCUGCCAGGAAAACAACGACUUCAGCAGGGCUGUCUAACCAAGGAAAGAAUUGAACGACAAAUAGCAAAGGUGAAGAAAAUCACGCACCGCUGGGACGAUGCAGGUCCUGCUGCAGCUGCCGCCAUCCCUAGGAGUCACGAAAGCGUCUGCCUGAGCGUUUUCUACCUUGGUUACCAGCUCCGCCGCCGCCCAGGAGGGGAAAACUUCUAAAGAAACCCCAACUGAGCUUCCGUCCUCCGUGGCCAAUCAGCGAUCGCUCAGCAUGCGGCCGCGGAAAAGGAGGCGCAGGGUGGGCAGGUAGGCGCAGGGCCGGCUGGGAAAGAGGAGGAAACGCUCUCCGGCCCCGCCCCUACCCGUGACGCGCACAAGGUCCCGCCCCGAGGGCGUGGCCACGAGGCCUGUGCCUGUCCGCAUGCCCGGGGCGGGGGCUCCCGCAUGACUUGUAGGCUUUUUAAUAUUGUUUCAA
RNAcentral lists this long non-coding RNA (562 nucleotides) under Rattus norvegicus (Norway rat). RNAcentral describes it as "long non-coding RNA NONRATT011121". Lineage: Eukaryota; Metazoa; Chordata; Mammalia; Rodentia; Muridae. The record is from RNAcentral.